Non-coding RNA from Marmota flaviventris (yellow-bellied marmot), 589 nucleotides. The record is from RefSeq and is a predicted model, not a curated record. NCBI's taxonomy places the organism in Eukaryota, Metazoa, Chordata, Mammalia, Rodentia, Sciuridae.
GGGGACAAUGCAGGAAGGCAGGGCUCAGCACUGCUGUCACCUCCCCAGAGGCCACCCCAGGCCACCAGGUAGCUGUAUCUGGUGCCCCCCAGGAUGUGACCUACGCCCAGCUGAAUUACCUCAAGCUCAAGGAGACAGCCACUCCUCCUUCCUCCCAGGGACAGGAGCCUCCCACUGAGCCCAGUGUCUACACCACCCUGGCCUUCCACUAGCCCAGGACACUGCUCAGAUCCCAUGCUGCAAGGACAGGGACACGGGGACCCCAGCAGGCACUAGACAGCCCAUGGACAUGCAGCUGGGUGUCACGGCCAGGCUGGGGCCUGACAUGCAUGGCCAGGAGCAUCUGCGACCUGCUGGAAGUCACCUGAUUCCCAGUCACAAUAACUGGUCCCCAACCACGUGCCACGUUUGGCCAUUUUACUCUCCUAGUCACCAACAGGCAAGGGGAGGAGUCACAAGGCAAGUGAGAAAGUGUGUGAUGGGAAAGUGCAUCCCGCUGAUGACGCACAGAAAUGAAGUGACUUUGAUCAAAGGAAAUUUACAAUAAAGUUCAAAAUGUGCUGGGGUGACCCUGGGGAGCCCCAUGUCA